GAUGAACGCUGGCGGCGUGCCUCAAACAUGCAAGUCGAGCGAGGCUAUGAAUUACCGACAAGGUAAGGCAUAGCCUAGCGGCGAACGGGUGAGUAACACGUGGGUAACCUACCUGGAAGACAGGGAUAACGAUUCGAAAGGGUCGCUAAUACCUGAUAAUAUCCAUCUGCCGGAUGGCGGAGGGAAGAAAGGGGAAACCCGCUUUCAGAUGGGCCCGCGUCCCAUCAGCUAGUUGGUAAGGUAAAGGCUUACCAAGGCGACGACGGGUAGCCGGUCUGAGAGGAUGUACGGCCACACUGGGACUGAGAUACGGCCCAGACUCCUACGGGAGGCAGCAGUUGGGAAUCUUAGGCAAUGGACGAAAGUCUGACCUAGCGACGCCGCGUGAGGGAAGAAGGCCUUCGGGUUGUAAACCUCUGUCAUGGGGGAAGAAGGAAGUGACGGUACCCCAAGAGGAAGCCCCUGCUAACUACGUG
Molecule: ribosomal RNA, 476 nt
Filed under: uncultured bacterium
Lineage: Bacteria
Description: bacterial SSU rRNA
Rfam family: Bacterial small subunit ribosomal RNA
Source: RNAcentral